AGCCGUGUGGCGUAUGCGUAGCGAAAGCGAGUCUUAAAAGGCGUUUGUAGUCGCUUGUCCUGGACCCGAAGCGGGAUGAUCUAGCCCUGGGCAGGUUGAAGCGCGGGUAAGACCGCGUGGAGGACCGAACCCACCUGGGUUGAAAACCGGGGGGAUGACCUGGGGCUAGGGGUGAAAGGCCAAUCAAAUUCCGUGAUAGCUGGUUCUCUCCGAAAUGCAUUUAGGUGCAGCGUCGGUCGAUUGCGUCGCGGGGGUAGAGCUACCGGAUGCUUGCGGGCCCUUGUUGGGUACCAACAGCAGCCGAACUCCGAAUACCGUUGACGUGUAUUCCGGCAGUGAGUCGGCGGGGGAUAAGCUCCGUCGUCGAGAGGGAGACAGCCCAGACCGUCGUCUAAGGUCCCGAAGCGUGUGCUAAGUGGGAAAGGAUGUGGAGUCGCAUAGACAGCCAGGAGGUUGGCUCAGAAGCAGCCAUCCUUGAAAGAGUGCGUAACAGCUCACUGGUCUAGUGGUUCCGCGCCGACAAUGUAGCGGGGCUCAAGCACACCACCGAAGACGCGGCAACAGUUUUUUGCUGUUGGGUAGGAGAGCGUCCCCCGAGGGGCGAAGCGGCCGCGCAAGCGCGCCGUGGACUUCGGGGGAGUGAGAAUGCAGACAUGAGUAGCGAGAGACGGGUGAGGAUCCCGUCCGCUGGAUGACCAAGGGUUCCGGGGCCACGUUCGUCGUCCCCGGGUGAG
Molecule: ribosomal RNA, 734 nt
Filed under: human gut metagenome
Description: bacterial LSU rRNA
Rfam family: Bacterial large subunit ribosomal RNA
Source: RNAcentral